RNAcentral lists this unclassified non-coding RNA (358 nucleotides) under soil metagenome. Its description in RNAcentral is "partial contains 5.8S ribosomal RNA, internal transcribed spacer 2, and large subunit ribosomal RNA". The stretch from base 1 to 120 matches the Rfam family "5.8S ribosomal RNA", at positions 35 to 154 of the family's 154-position model. The record is from RNAcentral.
GAUGAAGAACACAGCGAAAUGCGAUAAGUAAUGUGAAUUGCAGAAUUCAGUGAAUCAUCGAAUCUUUGAACGCACAUUGCGCCCGUCAGUAUUCUGGCGGGCAUGCCUGUUCGAGCGUCAUUACGCCCCUCAAGUCCCCUGUGGACUUGGUGUUGGGGAUCGGCGAGGCUGGUUUUCCAGCACAGCCGUCCCUUAAAUUAAUUGGCGGUCUCGCCGUGGCCCUCCUCUGCGCAGUAGUAAAACACUCGCAACAGGAGCCCGGCGCGGUCCACUGCCGUAAAACCCCCCAACUUUUUAUAGUUGACCUCGAAUCAGGUAGGACUACCCGCUGAACUUAAGCAUAUCAAUAAGCGGAGGA